ACGCAUUCAAACUUCGACGAUGACACCACUCUUGAAAAUGCAACACUGAGUAGGCAUUGUGGUCAACAUCUAUUCGCUGAAAAGAAACGAGUAAAAAGCUACACGAAUGCGCGGCGUUACGUUGUGAAGUGGAAAAUUAAUUUCGUGAAAUUUACAUGUUUUUGUGUAUAAUUGAUAGAAAAUUUUAUCAAAAAAGUGAAAACGAUACAUAAAAGUUGCGUAAACAAUUAAGAUAUAUUAAAAGUUCUAAGUAAUUUUUGCAAAAACAUUGUGGAAAAAAAGCGCUCCGGAAUCGGAAAAUUCGUCGUUUGCGUCGUGAAUCACAUACUCUGAAUAUAAUAGAAAGCGAAAAGUGAAUCUUUUUACAAGUAUAGAAUAUUGUGUAUUGAAUUUAAUAUAAGAAUUUCUUAAACAAUACAAAUUAGAACAAUGUCUGAGGUUGAGAAUAUUAGUGAAAUCCAGCAGAAUACUGUACCAGUCGAACAGACCCUAGCAGAGGUAGAGACAGCGAGUACUCCAGUGUCGGCUGAGACAGAGACGCCAGCUGCGACUGAAAAGCAAGUGGUCAACAACAGCAUUGAAGCUGAAUCUGGUGCCGGCGAUGCGGAUGCGGGCACGAGUGCUGCGGAGGAGGCCAAAGCGGCGGAAUCUUCACCAAAAGUGGAAAGCACAAAGAAGACACCCGUAAAACGCACUCCUUCAAAGCGAAUGUCAUUCAUAGAACGAGCACAAAAGGAAAGCGAGGAACUUGUUAAGAAUAUGGGUGGCAGUUUGGAGUUGGAGGGUGGACGACGAACCCGCUCAAGCGCACGUGGUACACCAACACGAGCUACAGCUGUUUCAACUCCGCCACCCACCAAAAAGGCACGUACUUCGCCGGCUACUGCCAGCAGCACUCCAUCUCGAGUUCGUGGUCGUGGUCGAAAAAUAGACAUAUCAGAAGAUUUAGAAGAGGCUAAAGGGUCAGCCGAUAUAUCCUCGGCUAAUACGCCUGAGAAGUCUAAAACGCCCAAUAAGAAGCAAGAAGCUUCAGAAAAAUCCAAUGACAAAGAGGAAAAUGUGUCCGAACCAACUGUUGAAUCUACUCCUGCCGAGGACGCGGAAAAAGCCACCGAUGAUAAAAAAGAAGAAACCAAGGCAUCUGUAUCAAAUGAGGAGAAGUCGGAAGAUAAAACAGAUACUAAAGCUGAACUAGAAUCUAUUUCCGAAGAAAAACUGAGCGAUGAUCAACCAGCCAGUAAAGAAGCUGAAAAAUCGGCACCAGUAGCCCAGAAGGAUAAAGAAACACCAAUGGAAACAGAUGAUUCUUUGCCUGCGGAUGAACCAAUAGAGACGGCGUCCAGCGCCCCCGAGCCAACACCAGAAGAAGAACCGAAAGUUGAAAGUGUAACAGAGGGAACUGCAGAACCAGCCACCGAAGAAUCAGCUCCAGUAACGGUGCCAAAACAACUUACUCCUGAACCAAUGGAAGUCGAUUCAAAUUCAAAGAGUAGUGAUGUCGAGCUAAUUGAAACUGUGCCACCAGUUGCAGUUGAAAAUUCAACUGAAGUUUCGGCACCGAUCAACGUAGCAAUAAAAACUGUUGCGCCGAUUACUGAAAUUCAAUCGGUUCAGGAAACGAACAUUGUUGAGAUAAAUCUCUCAGAUUCGGAAUCCGAUACCAAGACCAACAAUGUAGACAACAAUGAAGACGCUAAAUUGGAAGAAGCAGUCCAAGCGCCGACUGCUAGGGAUAUGGGCAAUGCAGAAUCAAACGCAAAUGCGUUAAAUACAGCAAAUGAAAUCGAAACUAACGCAAAAGCUGAAGUGACUAUUGAAGUCCCUGUCGCCGUCGAUCCCGCCGCUACAGAAAGCGGGGUCAAUAAUACCAAUAAUGAUGAUAUUGCUAAACCACAAAAUGAUUUAUGUGUACCAAAAGUCGUAUCGCCAUCGAUAAAUAAUGCAAAUAAUGAUGGAACUGUAACAACGAUUUUGUAAAUGCGACAUAAAUCAACGUCUAUUGCUAUUGCUACAAUAGUCAACAGUUAUAAUGCCACGUCGUGCAACAACAAAUGCAGUUAAAACAACCACAAUAUGGACACAAAUUCAACAAAAUUUAAAAUUGUAACUGGAAGGAUUAUCCAGAGAAAUCUUUUCUCUAUUUUUCAUGGCAAAUAUUCAAUUAACCAAAUUGAAGGCCCUUCAACGGAUUAGAGUUAAUACGUAGUAUGUAUGUCACGCUACACAUUUUAUUUUUUUUCUAAUUGGACAACAGAAAACAAAAAAAAAAAUGUAUAAUAAUAUAUUAUAUAUAUGAUUAUAUGCAAAGCUAAACAAUACAACUAUUUUAGAUGAUAAUGACCAUGCAAAACAAUAAACAAAAAACCUAAACAAUCAUUUAUUGUUUUUAUUGCAAAUUCUACUAAAUAAUGCAGUACGUUUUAUAUAAAAAAAAAGAAAAAUAAUCAGUAAAAAAGAAACUACAAAUGUAACAAUUGACAGAUGUGCGUGCGUGUGUGUGGGAAAUUUUAUAUAAUUAAAAUUUACUGCAAAAAAUUGAAUUUCAACUUAAAUAAAAUAUAAGUAAUGCUGUAUAUUAAAGCGAUUAAAUAUCAAGAGCAAUAAUAUAAUAAAAUUAGACUAACAUUAAUUAUAAAAUUAAAUUUUGGAGACAAAGAUAUUAAAAAUAUUCGAAAACUUAAAAAAAAAGAAUGUAUGCACUCGCCAUAAAGCCAUUGUUUUAAAAUUUUUUCAGUAGUCUUAAACAGAAUUUCUAAAGAAAAAAAAUAUUGCCUGCUUUCCAUUUAACAGUUUAGGUUUUACACGGCAAAACCUUGCCGGUUUAGGUUAGAAUUGCAUUUCUGAAAAUAGGGGUUUUGAAUUAAAAUCACUGAAUUUGCAGCAAAAAAACUAUCAAAUAUUUAUUUUUGUUUUUUUUUUCAAAUUGCUCGUUUAAUAAUAUAACGAUGUAUUUCAAAAUUUCAAUUUUGUGGAAAAUCGCAAUCAAAGUUUUAUCAAUUCACACAGUGGGUACACAUAUCUUCGUCAUAUUUGGGAAGUUAACAGAUAACAAUAAUUUUGAUUUACAUCUCUAUAUUAUUAAACGAGCGAUAUAUCUAAAUGUGCUUAGUUUUUUUUUUUACAGGAAGCAGUAAAGCGGACAUUUUUCGACCUGCCAGCGGGUCGAACGGAAAAUGACCUAACUUAUUUACAGUUACAUAUUUUCGAAUGCUUCACAUACAUAUAUAAGUGCUACAUUAUUUCCGAAUUAAGUUUCCACAAAAAAAGCAGAAAAUAUUUCGUUCGACUCAAUAUGCAUUAUUAAAGGAAUUAUUAUAUUACUCCAUGCACCGGUACACAUUUGUUUUGGUCCCUUCUUCUUUUGCAUGCUUUCAUAAUUGUAUGCGUAUAAAGAUUCUCAAUAAAUAUUUAUCAGCAGCGCAUAAUGUUU
This 3430-nucleotide unclassified non-coding RNA is filed under the name Rhagoletis pomonella (apple maggot). RNAcentral's name for it is "neurofilament heavy polypeptide-like, transcript variant X1". Lineage: Eukaryota; Metazoa; Arthropoda; Insecta; Diptera; Tephritidae. The record is from RNAcentral.